GAUCAAUCGUAAUCGAGCCGCAUCGCGCGUCUAACGCGAGGCACAGAGUUCAGCCGCAAGGUGACAGUAGCUAUUGCUGCCCAUCUAGGCAACCGGCCGUUUAACCGAGUGCACGUAUUUACAUCCGGUCCGGCAGGAGGUACACACUCGUGAGCGCAGGUUAACUAACACCACACGAGUGAUCGAGAGAACACAGCGAACUUACCGAAAAGGGAAGGUAUAAAAGCGCGUUGAUAACGAGGUGACCAAUCGCUGCACGAAAGCAGCUGAUACAGCGAGCACUUGGGCCAGCAGCAUCGGAAAAACACGCAAACGUUCACGAACUUCUUCGAAAUACUGUUUGCAAUAUUUUGAUAGAAGACACACACUAUCGCACACGAAUGAUGUAAACUUCUUGCCACACUCAUAUUACAACUCUGCGCCAAAGAACGACGAUGACGGAAAUGUUCGGCUCGACUGGUUCCGUCCUGUUGACAAACUGUUUGCUUACCACUGCCUCCCUUGGCCAGAACUUCUCAUUUCCAUACCCGUUCAUCCAUAUGCAUCCGAGCAUCGGCGCUGCCGGCCAUGCGUUCAUGCGUUUCCAGCUGUGGAGGCUUCCAGUGAUCGAACAAAAAACAAAUCAACAACAACGUUCGUAUGCAGAAAUAGGAAGUAGGAAGAGAUUUACUGGCAACAUUUUUACCAGCGUCGACAAAUCGUCCACAUCCAUUUACAGAUCAGACGACAGUUUUUAAAAGCUUCCGUUAUAUGCACGUGUGCGAUGUGUGUGUAAAUUGUUAUUCUGUUGAUGAUAUCACAUCAACCCGAGAUAAUUGCAAAUGACGAAAGGUCAAUUGUCAAAAGCACAAUUAAGAAAUGCAUUUCGACGAGUGCAAGUGUUUCGGGUGAGUUCCAUUACACAAACGUUGUGCGUUAUGUGACAUUCGUACCCGAGCUUGGUACAUUGUUUGUGCAUUUAUGGGAAACAAUAAAUGUAGCUAAAGAAGGCAGCAAAUAUAUUUAAUUUCUU
Molecule: long non-coding RNA, 1012 nt
Organism: Anopheles gambiae (African malaria mosquito)
Lineage: Eukaryota; Metazoa; Arthropoda; Insecta; Diptera; Culicidae
Exons: 2
Source: RefSeq, a predicted model, not a curated record